GAAUCUUGCGCAAUGGAGGAAACUCUGACGCAGCCACGCCGCGUGCAGGAAGACGGUUCUCUGAAUUGUAAACUGCUUUUGACAGGGAAGAGUGUCUGGGUUUCGACCUAGAAGAGACGGUACCUGAUCGAAUAAGCACCGGCUAACUCCGUGCCAGCAGCCGCGGUAAUACGGAGGGUGCAAGCGUUGUCCGGAAUUAUUGGGUGUAAAGGGUGCGCAGGCGGGAAUGUAAGUCGGGGGUGAAAGGCUACCGCUCAACGGUAGGAUUGCCUUCGAUACUGCAUUUCUUGAGUAUGGAAGAGGUCGAUGGAAUUGGUGGUGUAGCGGUGAAAUGCAUAGAUAUCACCAAGAACACCGGUGGUGAAGACGCUCGGCUGGUCCAUUACUGACGCUCAGGCACGAGAGCGUGGGGAGCGAACAGG
RNAcentral lists this ribosomal RNA (422 nucleotides) under uncultured bacterium. Its description in RNAcentral is "bacterial SSU rRNA". It matches the Rfam family "Bacterial small subunit ribosomal RNA", at positions 359 to 776 of the family's 1533-position model. The record is from RNAcentral.